RNAcentral lists this ribosomal RNA (304 nucleotides) under uncultured bacterium. RNAcentral describes it as "partial 16S ribosomal RNA". It matches the Rfam family "Bacterial small subunit ribosomal RNA", at positions 506 to 807 of the family's 1533-position model. The record is from RNAcentral.
CAGCAGCAGCCGCGGUAAUACGGAGGGUGCAAGCGUUAAUCGGAAUUACUGGGCGUAAAGCGCACGCAGGCGGUCUGACAAGUCAGAUGUGAAAUCCCCGGGCUUAACCUGGGAACUGCAUUUGAAACUGUCAGGCUGGAGUCUUGUAGAGGGGGGUAGAAUUCCAGGUGUAGCGGUGAAAUGCGUAGAGAUCUGGAGGAAUACCGGUGGCGAAGGCAAUCCCCUGGGCCUGUACUGACGCUCAUGCACGAAAGCGUGGGGAGCAAACAGGAUUAGAUACCCCUGUAGUCCCUGUCUCUUAUAC